GCUUACGGCCAUAUCAGCCUGGGUACGCCCGCCUGAUCUCGGAAGCUAAGCACGGUCGGGCCUGGUUACUACUUGGAUGGGAGACCGCCUGGGAAUACCAGGUGCUGUAAGCA
This 113-nucleotide ribosomal RNA is filed under the name Salmo salar (Atlantic salmon). The record is from RNAcentral. Lineage: Eukaryota; Metazoa; Chordata; Actinopteri; Salmoniformes; Salmonidae.